Molecule: ribosomal RNA, 449 nt
Filed under: uncultured bacterium
Lineage: Bacteria
Description: bacterial SSU rRNA
Rfam family: Bacterial small subunit ribosomal RNA
Source: RNAcentral
UCCAGACUCCUACGGGAGGCAGCAGUGGGGAAUAUUGCACAAUGGGCGAAAGCCUGAUGCAGCAACGCCGCGUGAAGGAAGAAGGCCUUCGGGUCGUAAACUUCUGUCCUUGGGGAAGAAGAACUGACGGUACCCAAGGAGGAAGCCCCGGCUAACUACGUGCCAGCAGCCGCGGUAAUACGGAGGAUGCGAGCGUUAUCCGGAUUUAUUGGGUUUAAAGGGUGCGUAGGCGGGACGUUAAGUCAGCGGUAAAAAUGCGGAGCUCAACUCCGUCGAGCCGUUGAAACUGCCGUUCUUGAGUGAGCGAGAAGUAUGCGGAAUGCGUGGUGUAGCGGUGAAAUGCAUAGAUAUCACGCAGAACUCCGAUUGCGAAGGCAGCAUACCGGCGCUCAACUGACGCUGAAGCACGAAGGCGUGGGUAUCGAACAGGAUUAGAUACCCGAGUAUUA